CACGUAGGCACCAAGCGUUAUCCGGAUUUAUUGGGCGUAAAGAGCUCGUAGGCGGUUCGGUAAGUCGGGUGUGAAAACUCUGGGCUCAACCCAGAGAGGCCACCCGAUACUGCUGUGACUAGAGUGCGGUAGGGGAGCGGGGAAUUCCUGGUGUAGCGGUGAAAUGCGCAGAUAUCUGGAGAAUACCGGUGGCGAAGGCGGCAUCCUGGACCGGCAUUGACGCUGAUGAGCGAAAGCUAGGGGAGCAAACGGGAUUAAGAAAC
RNAcentral lists this ribosomal RNA (263 nucleotides) under uncultured bacterium. RNAcentral's name for it is "partial 16S ribosomal RNA". It matches the Rfam family "Bacterial small subunit ribosomal RNA", at positions 524 to 786 of the family's 1533-position model. The record is from RNAcentral.